Triticum dicoccoides is the source of this 353-nucleotide long non-coding RNA. RefSeq lists it as uncharacterized. The record is from RefSeq and is a predicted model, not a curated record. NCBI's taxonomy places the organism in Eukaryota, Viridiplantae, Streptophyta, Magnoliopsida, Poales, Poaceae. The transcript is spliced from 3 exons.
CUACCUUGAGGAGAUCGAUCAUGGCCUGCCCUCCCUCCUGAACCUCGUAGCUCACCCCGCCGAUUCAUUGAGGUCGAGGGCACAAGGGGCAUGUCUUGUUCACCAACUGGGACGGAAAGCAGAUCAGUCCCCACCCCUGAUUCAUAGACACACAAGUGCACACCAAGUGUUUGAUAGCUGUCCUCUGUUACUAGUUUAGAAUAUUGGGAGCCUUCAGAUAGAGGGGGUUGUUUCUGAUUCUUCUUCUAUAAGGUUUACUAAACAUAAGAGGUGGCUUAAAUCUAGUAACUGUUAAGGUUUCAGGUGUGGACGUGUGCAAUAUUUCAAUGUAGUUCUGCACCAUUACUACCUUG